CUCACGUCCGAGUCAAGCCGCCGUACGGGUGUAUGGCUGUGUGCCCCGUUCUCGGAAGCGUCGACGGGCUUCCGGCAUGCGGAUUUCAGAGUUUGGACUCGACUUUUGGUGAGGAUGUCGAUCGACCUUGGGCCUGGUGACAGCACACCCGACAUGGCCAAAGUGCAGCCUAUCAGUUGAGUGCCCCCGAAUAGACCAUCAACAUCGGAAAAUGAAGCAGAGCCAGGGAGAAAAAGUUCCGGUAACACCAUGCAUUCAGUAUGGUGGCCCAGACGUGUAUGCAAGCAACCUCCUUCAUGUUGACCAAGAACUACUCUUCAGUGUCUCGCAGACUUCCAUGCGAAGCCCUCAACAUUCUCGUCUCAGUGGAAUGGCUGCUCAUCUAUCAGCGUGUCCAUCACCAAGACUGCCAGUUGUAAAGCUUCUGAACCCGUUUAAGAAAGCUUAGUGAUUUUUU
This is a non-coding RNA of Dermacentor andersoni, 457 nucleotides long. Lineage: Eukaryota; Metazoa; Arthropoda; Arachnida; Ixodida; Ixodidae. The record is from RefSeq and is a predicted model, not a curated record.